UGGGGAAUUUUGGACAAUGGGCGCGAGCCUGAUCCAGCCAUGCCGCGUGCAGGAUGAAGGCCCUCGGGUUGUAAACUGCUUUUGUACGGAACGAAAAGCCUCUUUCUAAUAAAGAGGGGUGAUGACGGUACCGUAAGAAUAAGCACCGGCUAACUACGUGCCAGCAGCCGCGGUAAUACGUAGGGUGCGAGCGUUAAUCGGAAUUACUGGGCGUAAAGCGUGCGCAGGCGGUCUUGCAAGACAGUGGUGAAAUCCCCGGGCUCAACCUGGGAACUGCCAUUGUGACUGCAAGGCUGGAGUACGGCAGAGGGGGAUGGAAUUCCGCGUGUAGCAGUGAAAUGCGUAGAUAUGCGGAGGAACACCGAUGGCGAAGGCAGUCCCCUGGGCCUGUACUGACGCUCAUGCACGAAAGCGUGGGGAGCAAACA
Molecule: ribosomal RNA, 427 nt
Filed under: uncultured bacterium
Lineage: Bacteria
Description: bacterial SSU rRNA
Rfam family: Bacterial small subunit ribosomal RNA
Source: RNAcentral